This 249-nucleotide long non-coding RNA is filed under the name Dromaius novaehollandiae (emu). RNAcentral describes it as "lncRNA (ENSDNVG00000002201.1)". The record is from RNAcentral. Lineage: Eukaryota; Metazoa; Chordata; Aves; Casuariiformes; Dromaiidae.
AGAAYGACGUACAAGCAGGAGAGCUCCAGCAGAACAGGCUCUUGUCACAGGAACAGCCGUUCAUGUGGUAUCUUAGCCUUCAUGCUCCUGGUCCCAGCUAGUCUGACCCCAUGCCAUCUGCAGGGAAAAGGAGAUGACAAAGAGAAGUGUUGCAGCUACUUGAGGAAAAAGCUGGCUCUUGCUCAUCUCAAAGGCCAGUACUGCUCAGAACCAUUGCAGACCYGGGGGAUUCAAGCUAACCAGUCCUGA